GGAAAAUCCCAUGGACGGAGGUGCCUGGUAGGCUGCAGUCCAUGGGGUCUCGAAGAGCGACUUCACUUUCACUUUCUAGACCAGGACUGUCCAUUAAAAACAUAUCAAAAUCUUGCCAUCACAGAGUGUGGGAUCCCAGCUGACAACCAGAGAAUGAUGUGGAGGAAAUUUGAUAUUCCUAGUUACAUGUGCAGUUUACAAGUCCCUCAGGGCACCCCGGGACUCCCAGUGAAACGCAUGAUUGAAGAGAUGCUUGGAGAGGCUCUUAACCACAGAUGAGUCAGAGUUGCUGGUUCCGAAAAUUCUCAGACCCUCAGAUGGCAAAUGAUGCUAAAAUGAAGAAAUGGCUUUCAGUCAAAGAUAAAACUCAGGGGACUGUCAGGAAAAUAUGAUACAG
This is a long non-coding RNA of Bos taurus (domestic cattle), 397 nucleotides long. The record is from Ensembl. Lineage: Eukaryota; Metazoa; Chordata; Mammalia; Artiodactyla; Bovidae.